This 602-nucleotide long non-coding RNA is filed under the name Macaca nemestrina (pig-tailed macaque). Its description in RNAcentral is "lncRNA (ENSMNEG00000045627.1)". The record is from RNAcentral. Lineage: Eukaryota; Metazoa; Chordata; Mammalia; Primates; Cercopithecidae.
AUGAGACACACCCAUAGUACACUUGCCCUCUGGAGAACACCUGCAGACCAUGGGACCGAGAGCUCAGGUGUGGGCGGAGCAUGGCCACCCUACCACGUCCAGGAGGGGGGGAGAUCAGAGAGAGCUCAGGUGUGGGCGGAGCAUGGCCAUCCUACCAUGUCCAGGAGGGGGAGAUCAGAGAGAGCUCUCAGGUGUGGGCAAAGCAUGGCCAUCCUACCACGUCCAGGAGGCGGAGAUCAGAGAGAGUUUGGGUGUGGGCGGAGCAUGGCUAUCUUUCCACGUCCAGGAGGGGAGAUCGGAGUGGGUGCAGGAUUGGAGCUCUCCACAGAUCCACACCAGCAGCUGAAUCAAUCCAAGCCUGCCCAUGUCACGAUGACCCAGCAGUGCCUGUACUACCUGCUAAAACAAGAGCUGGAAAGCUUCAGAGGAAGGUUAGGGAUCCUGAGAUGUGGUCAACAAGUUACCCACAAUGUGUAAUAUUCAGCAAAUAAUCACGCAUACACAGAGAAACGGGGGUAGAAUCUGUGGUCAAGAAAAAGGCAGUAAAAAGUGCACACACAUGCAGGAUGGUCUCUGUCACUCACCACAUGCGGCGGCUGAGA